CAGCCGCGUAAUUCCAGCUCCAAUAGCGUAUAUUAGUGUUGUUGCGGUUAAAAAGCUCGUAGUUGAAUUUCGGGAUUGGGAUAUAUCGGUCAUGCCUUUAGGGGCAUGAAUCGGUGUGUAGCCAAUUUCUCACCUUCUGGUGAAUUGGGAUGCUCUUGGGUGUUUCAAUGAACUAGGACUUUUACUUUGAAAAAAAUAUAGUGUUUAAAGCGGGCAUUUUUGCUUGAAUACAUUAGCAUGGAAUAAUAAAAUAGGACGAUGGUUCUAUUUUGUUGGUUUUAGGACCACGUAAUGAUUAAUAGGGAUAGUUGGGGGGAUUAGUAUUCAAUAGUCAGAGGUGAAAUUCUUGGAGUGAUUGAGGACUAACUACUGCGAAAGCAUUUGCCAAGGAUGUUUUCAUUAAUCAAGAACGAAAGUUAGGGGAUCGAAGACGAUUUAUGUACGUCGUAGUCUUAACCAUAAACUAUGCCGACUAGGAAUCAGACAAAGUUCAUUUUUUAACGACUUGUUUGGUACCUUACG
This 522-nucleotide unclassified non-coding RNA is filed under the name uncultured Glomeromycotina. RNAcentral's name for it is "SSU rRNA". It matches the Rfam family "Eukaryotic small subunit ribosomal RNA", at positions 571 to 1092 of the family's 1831-position model. Lineage: Eukaryota; Fungi; Glomeromycota. The record is from RNAcentral.